AAAUUGAAGAGUUUGAUCAUGGCUCAGAUUGAACGCUGGCGGCAGGCCUAACACAUGCAAGUCGAACGGUAACAGGAAGCAGCUUGCUGCUUCGCUGACGAGUGGCGGACGGGUGAGUAAUGUCUGGGAAACUGCCUGAUGGAGGGGGAUAACUACUGGAAACGGUAGCUAAUACCGCAUAAUGUCGCAAGACCAAAGAGGGGGACCUUCGUGCCUCUUGCCAUCGGAUGUGCCCAGAUGGGAUUAGCUUGUUGGUGGGGUAACGGCUCACC
RNAcentral lists this ribosomal RNA (272 nucleotides) under Escherichia coli. RNAcentral describes it as "partial 16S ribosomal RNA". It matches the Rfam family "Bacterial small subunit ribosomal RNA", at positions 1 to 269 of the family's 1533-position model. Lineage: Bacteria; Pseudomonadati; Pseudomonadota; Gammaproteobacteria; Enterobacterales; Enterobacteriaceae. The record is from RNAcentral.